This is a non-coding RNA of Cervus elaphus (red deer), 306 nucleotides long. NCBI's taxonomy places the organism in Eukaryota, Metazoa, Chordata, Mammalia, Artiodactyla, Cervidae. The record is from the annotation of a RefSeq genome assembly.
AUGGAUGGCCAAGUGACUCUUUCAGAAGGGACUUCUGUGACUAUAAACUGCACUUAUUCAACGUCCGGGUACCCUACUCUUUUCUGGUAUGUCCAGUAUCCUGGAGAAGGUCCACAGCUCCUCCUGAAAGCCACGAAGGCCAACGAGAAGGGAAGCCACAAAGGUUUUGAAGCCACAUACAAUACAGAAACCACCUCCUUCCACUUGGAGAAAGCCUCAGCCCAAGAGUCAGACUCGGCUGUGUACUACUGUGCUCUGAGGGACACAGUGACGGAAACUGCAGGGGGAGCUGAGCACAAACUCUGA